CCUACGGGUGGCAGCAGUGGGGGAUAUUGCACAAUGGGGGAAACCCUGAUGCAGCGACGCCGCGUGUGGGAAGACGGUCCUCUGGAUUGUAAACCACUGUCCCCAGGGACGAAGAUGACGGUACCUGGGGAGGAAGCUCCGGCAAACUACGUACCAGCAGCCGCGGUAAUACGUAGGGAGCGAGCGUUGUCCGGAAUUACUGGGUGAAAGGGGAGCGUAGGCGGGACUGCAAGUUGGGUGUCAAAUCUACCGGCUCAACCGGUAGCCGCACUCAAAACUGCAGUUCUUGAGUGAAGUAGAGGCAGGCGGAAUUCCUAGUGUAGCGGUGAAAUGCGUAGAUAUUAGGAGGAACACCAGUGGCGAAGGCGACCUGCUGGGCUUUUACUGACGCUGAGGCUCGAAAGUGUGGGGAGCAAACAGGAUUAGAUACCCUUGUAGUC
RNAcentral lists this ribosomal RNA (440 nucleotides) under uncultured bacterium. RNAcentral's name for it is "partial 16S ribosomal RNA". It matches the Rfam family "Bacterial small subunit ribosomal RNA", at positions 338 to 795 of the family's 1533-position model. The record is from RNAcentral.